GUCACCUGUGUGUUUCUUUCCUGCACAGCGAUGACACUGACAGCAGAGAACCUGCUGGUUAUUAGUGUAUGUGGUGCUGUGUGUGCUGUGGCCCUCACUGUAUUCAUCCUCUACAUUUUCAUCUGUUGCCGGAAAAUGUACAAAGUGGCAGCUGACAUUGAGUCUGCGGCUGCCCUUAAGAAAGAUCAAAUGGCAGCACCAUUACCCUCAACCCUACCACCUCCAUCCCCCUCAACAUCCCUCCCAACUUCUUCUCCAUCCCCACACCCAGCAUCCCCACUACCCACACCCCCAGCAUCCCCACUACCCACACCCCCAGAAUCCCCACUACCCUUACCCACAGUAUACCCCACCCAACCCGAAUACGCUUAUCUCACCUGCCCCCCUUGUUCCUACCCCUUAUGCCUUUAUGCCGUUCCGCCCCAUCACUAUAUGCAUAGACCCCCCCUCAUUAUGUCCACCAGACCAUCUGGACAGGGGCUGGGAGAUGCUGCCAUUUCGGCAAGUCACAAACAUCAGACUUAGGCGUAAGGGUUCAACCCUCCCCCUUCCCCUUCCCACCCCAUCACCACCACCUUGUGUGUCAUGUCUGUCUCCUUCCCAUAGAUGUUGAUCAACAUCAACAGCUACAAGCUGUCUCCAAACCCCUCACCAUUACUAACACUACCGCUACCUGUUCCAACACCACAAGAGAGAAUAACAGCUAGCAUAAAGAGAAUGGCGACAGGCCAGAAGAGUAAAUGCCAGCUGUCAAGAGUUACUGGCAAAUUAAGUUCUGCACAAAGUGGCCUCGAUGUUCCUUGUGGUACAAGUGAGAUGGAGAAAAACAACCACGUGCCUCCCCUCCUGCAGCCCCUGGUAAUGGCUCUACCCACAACUGUAUUUAUUGAAUGGACGAUGGCAAUACAAACACUGAUCAUAUAUACAAUAAUUGCCAGAGACAGAUGAUAAUACAAUCAUUACACAGUGCAGAAAGCAGAGAAGAAAACGAGGAGUAUAUGGAGACAGAGGAAUACAGC
Long non-coding RNA from Pseudophryne corroboree (corroboree frog), 1019 nucleotides. RefSeq lists it as uncharacterized. NCBI's taxonomy places the organism in Eukaryota, Metazoa, Chordata, Amphibia, Anura, Myobatrachidae. The transcript has 3 exons. The record is from RefSeq and is a predicted model, not a curated record.